CGCUGCCCCCAUUCCCGCUGCUCCGGCCAACCACCCCUCUUCCGGCCACAGCAGCGCCGUCGUCCGCCCACCUCUACACCAACCGCCACUGCCGCGUCGCCGUGACCGCCGCUGCGCUCCCAUUCCCGCUGCUGCCGUCCAUCCCUCUUCCGCCCACCUCUGCUCUUUUUUCCCGCUGUCACAGUGACCGCCACUGCGCC
This 200-nucleotide long non-coding RNA is filed under the name Salvia miltiorrhiza (redroot sage). RNAcentral's name for it is "long non-coding RNA (SMIL_LNC001668)". The record is from RNAcentral. Lineage: Eukaryota; Viridiplantae; Streptophyta; Magnoliopsida; Lamiales; Lamiaceae.